This 1322-nucleotide long non-coding RNA is filed under the name Numida meleagris (helmeted guineafowl). RNAcentral's name for it is "lncRNA (ENSNMEG00000001408.1)". Lineage: Eukaryota; Metazoa; Chordata; Aves; Galliformes; Numididae. The record is from RNAcentral.
GGGAGGGUGGUGAGUGUGCAAAGGGGUGUGCAAGGGGGAUGAGUGUGCAUGGGGGGGUGCACGUAGGGGUGGCGGUAGUGGUGUGCAGGUGCACGUGGGUGAGUGUGCAAGGGUGGGUGGGUGCACGUGGGCAUGCAUGUGCUCGUGGGUGGGUGUGCACAGGUGUGGGUGUGCAUGUGGGUGAGUGUGCACAGGUGUGGGUGUGCAUGUGGGUGUGCAUGUGCACGUGGGCGAGUGUGCACAGGUGUGGGUGUACACUGGGAAGUGUGUGUGUGCACGGGUAUCUGUGCAUUGGGGAGUGUGUUUGCACAUGGGGGGGUGUGCAGGUCUGUGGAGGGAUGUGGGUGUGCACACAGGUGUGCACACUCAAGUGUGAGCGCACUUCUGCACGGUUGUGCGUGCACGGAGGUGGUUGUGCACGUGGGUGUGCAUUGGGGUGGGUGUGCACGGAUAUGUGUGAGUGCACAUGGGUGUGCACAGAGAUGGGCGUGUGCAUGCAGAGAGAUCUGUGUGGGCACAUGGGUGUGCAUUGGGGUGCACGCACCUGGGUGUGUGCAUGGGAUGUGUGCACACGGGUGGAUGUGCAAGGCUGUGGGUGUGCACUUGAGUGUGAACACAAAUGUGCGUGCACAGGUGACGGUGUGCUACCGCACAUGGCUUCGCAUGCACAGAUGUGUGCGUGUGCACGUGGGUGUGCACACGGGGGUGUGCACCAGUUUGGGUGUGGAUGGGGGCAGACGUGCAAGGGGGUGGGUGUGCACGGAGGUGGGUGUGCACAUGGGUGUGCACGGCGAUGUGAGCACCUGUGUGAGUGUGCAUGUGUGCAAGGAUGUGUGUGCAUGGUUGUGCAUGCAUGUGGGAGUGUGUGCACGUUUGUGCAUGCGUGCUUGGAUAUGUGUGUGCAUGGGAUUUGUGCACACUUGUGCGUGCGCAUGGGUGUGCGUGCACGUGGGCGUGUGUGCAUGGGAUAUGUGUGCAUGGUUGUGCGUGCACGUGGGCGUGUGCAUGGAUGUGUGUGUGCACGGCGGUGGUGGGUGCGCGUGCACGGGUGUAGGUGUGCACGGGGGCGUGCACGGGGCCACACGCACUUGGGUUCCCUCGGGUGCGUGUGCACGGGGGUGUGCACGUGGGGUGCGGGUGUAGGUGUGCACUUGGGGGGGGCUGUGUGCACAGACGUGCACGGGGGUGCCCACGUGAGUGUGACAAUGGUGACAAUGGGGGUGUGUGUGUGGGGGGGGGUGCACACUGGGGCCAGUGGUCACCAUGGCGACCGCAUCCCUGGGUUUGGGUGGCAGCGGUCGCCGUGGCAACCGAGAUGCGAC